GCUGGUGGUUCAGUGGUAGAAUUCUUACCUUCCAUGUGGGAGAACUGGGUUCAACUCCUGGCCAAUGCG
This 69-nucleotide transfer RNA is filed under the name Loxodonta africana (African savanna elephant). It matches the Rfam family "tRNA". Rfam says of the family: Transfer RNA (tRNA) molecules are approximately 80 nucleotides in length. Lineage: Eukaryota; Metazoa; Chordata; Mammalia; Proboscidea; Elephantidae. The record is from Rfam by way of RNAcentral.